GCGGGUAUGGCGGAAUUGGCAGACGCGCUGGAUUUAGGUUCCAGUGCUGCGAGGCGUGUGGGUUCGAGUCCCACUACCCGUACCA
Molecule: transfer RNA, 85 nt
Filed under: Clostridiales bacterium
Lineage: Bacteria; Bacillati; Bacillota; Clostridia; Eubacteriales
Also listed under: 1 other name
Description: tRNA-Leu
Rfam family: tRNA
About the family: Transfer RNA (tRNA) molecules are approximately 80 nucleotides in length. Their secondary structure includes four short double-helical elements and three loops (D, anti-codon, and T loops). Further hydrogen bonds mediate the characteristic L-shaped molecular structure. tRNAs have two regions of fundamental functional importance: the anti-codon, which is responsible for specific mRNA codon recognition, and the 3' end, to which the tRNAs corresponding amino acid is attached (by aminoacyl-tRNA synthetases). tRNAs cope with the degeneracy of the genetic code in two manners: having more than one tRNA (with a specific anti-codon) for a particular amino acid; and 'wobble' base-pairing, i.e. permitting non-standard base-pairing at the 3rd anti-codon position.
Source: RNAcentral